This 116-nucleotide non-coding RNA is filed under the name Chlorobium ferrooxidans. RNAcentral describes it as "SAM-I sequence". It matches the Rfam family "SAM riboswitch aptamer (S box leader)". From Rfam's summary of the family: The SAM riboswitch is found upstream of a number of genes which code for proteins involved in methionine or cysteine biosynthesis in Gram-positive bacteria. RNAcentral also lists the same sequence under 1 other name. Lineage: Bacteria; Pseudomonadati; Chlorobiota; Chlorobiia; Chlorobiales; Chlorobiaceae. The record is from RNAcentral.
CUAUCAUCGAGAAAGGUGGAGGGACUGGCCCUGAGAAACCUUGGCAACCGUCAAUUCAUAAUGAAGUAUGAACGGUGCCAAUUCCAUCCCGGUAUAAAGGUCGGGAAAGAUGAUGG